Molecule: non-coding RNA, 425 nt
Organism: Castor canadensis (American beaver)
Lineage: Eukaryota; Metazoa; Chordata; Mammalia; Rodentia; Castoridae
Source: the annotation of a RefSeq genome assembly
CUUCUACUUGAGGAUACUAGCUGGCAUCCAGGAUGUCACUGUUGCAAGCAGUCACUUUCUUCUCCUUCUGGACUCUUGGACUUGGAUUGUCAAAAGUGGAGCAGUCUCAGAUAUCUGUUUUCUCAGAAGUAAAAAAAAGUGUUUAUAUACAUUGCAAGAUAUGGAGCACAAAUUUUGAAAAUGAAGUCAUUCACUGGUACUGGCAAAAACAAAAUCAGGCUUUGGAGCAUCUGGUUCACGUUGCUUCAACAAAAUCCCCAGCAAAAUCCUCAGUUCGAGGUUCUGUGGUUGGGGGGAGCAGCAAAGUUGAAGCAAUAAAAGAUCCUCAAAGUUUCUCUUCAACUCUAAUCAUAAAUUUUAUAGAAAAAGAAGAUGAAGCCAUUUACUACUGUGCUGGGUGGGACCCACAGUAUUUGACUUGUUGA